This 161-nucleotide non-coding RNA is filed under the name Leptotrichia massiliensis. The record is from RNAcentral. Lineage: Bacteria; Fusobacteriati; Fusobacteriota; Fusobacteriia; Fusobacteriales; Leptotrichiaceae.
UUUAUAGGUGUUGCAUAAACUUAAUAAGGAAACCAGUUGGAAUCUGGUACAGCCACCUCUACUGUGAUACUGACGAAAGUAUGAAAACCACUAAAAUAUCAUUAUAUUUUGGGAAGGGUACGAGUAGGAUGAAGUUAGUCAGGAGACUUGCCUAUAUAAUA